UGGGGAAUUUUGGACAAUGGGCGAAAGCCUGAUCCAGCAAUGCCGCGUGUGUGAAGAAGGCCUUCGGGUUGUAAAGCACUUUUGUCCGGAAAGAAAUCCUUGGCUCUAAUACAGCCGGGGGGAUGACGGUACCGGAAGAAUAAGCACCGGCUAACUACGUGCCAGCAGCCGCGGUAAUACGUAGGGUGCAAGCGUUAAUCGGAAUUACUGGGCGUAAAGCGUGCGCAGGCGGUUUGCUAAGACCGAUGUGAAAUCCCCGGGCUCAACCUGGGAACUGCAUUGGUGACUGGCAGGCUAGAGUAUGGCAGAGGGGGGUAGAAUUCCACGUGUAGCAGUGAAAGUGCGUAGAGAUGUGGAGGAAUACCGAUGGCGAAGGCAGCCCCCCUGGGGCCAAUACUGACGCUCAUGCACGAAAGCGUGGGGAGCAAACAGGAUUAGAUACCCCUGGUAGUCCACGCCCCUAAACGAUGUCAACUAGUUGUUGGGGAUUCAUUUCCUUAGUAACGUAGCUAACGCGUGAAGUUGACCGCCUGGGGAGUACGGUCGCAAGAUUAAAACUCAAAGGAAUUGACGGGGUCAUAGCUGUUUCCU
This 591-nucleotide ribosomal RNA is filed under the name uncultured bacterium. RNAcentral describes it as "partial 16S ribosomal RNA". It matches the Rfam family "Bacterial small subunit ribosomal RNA", at positions 355 to 1375 of the family's 1533-position model. The record is from RNAcentral.